This 409-nucleotide ribosomal RNA is filed under the name Verrucomicrobiota bacterium. Its description in RNAcentral is "Verrucomicrobia bacterium partial 16S ribosomal RNA". It matches the Rfam family "Bacterial small subunit ribosomal RNA", at positions 355 to 776 of the family's 1533-position model. The record is from RNAcentral. Lineage: Bacteria; Pseudomonadati; Verrucomicrobiota.
UGGGGAAUAUUGCACAAUGGGCGGAAGCCUGAUGCAGCGACGCCGCGUGAGGGAUGACGGCCUUCGGGUUGUAAACCUCUUUCAGUAGGGACGAAGCGUAAGUGACGGUACCUGCAGAAGAAGCACCGGCUAACUACGUGCCAGCAGCCGCGGUAAUACGUAGGGUGCGAGCGUUGUCCGGAAUUACUGGGCGUAAAGAGCUCGUAGGCGGUUUGUCACGUCGUCUGUGAAAUCCUAGGGCUUAACCCUGGACGUGCAGGCGAUACGGGCUGACUUGAGUACUACAGGGGAGACUGGAAUUUCUGGUGUAGCGGUGGAAUGCACAGAUAUCAGGAAGAACACCGGUGGCGAAGGCGGCCUUCUGGGCCACGACUGACGCUGAGGCGCGAAAGCUAGGGGAGCGAACAGG